UAAUUAUCUUUAUCAAUUUUAUUUUUCACUUAGUGGUUGUUAAUUAUCCUUUCUUUACUGGGCAACAGAUUGAAAAUUUGUGAUGCACUAUUUAUAUACGAUAAUGUCUAGAUACAUUUAUAAAUACGUGUUGCAUAAACUAACUACGGUAGCUACUAUUGUUAUAUAUAUUGUUAUAUAUUUAGUAUAAUUGUAUAACCAUCUAGACCGUUUACACAAACUUUCUGUAAUUCAAUAUAUAGUCGUUUAAAGAUAAGAAAACUCAUUUCAAAAUUUUCCUCUUAAAAUAUCAAUGUACGGUUUUGUCUAAAAAACACAAUUUAACCCAUUGACCAAAGAAAAUAUACAUGUUUUCCAUGGUGGAUAUUAAGGAAAUAUAUAAGCUUAAAUACAAAAUAAUUGCAAGAAUCAUUUAGUGUAGAGGUACUAUAUAUUAAUAUAUUAUACCUAACUGGUUUCUUAAUCACCGUUAACAAAAAAGUCAAGUGUCUCAGACAUCACUUGUCGUAUAUAAAACUCUGGAGAAGAGUAAAAUAUUUUUGUUGACAAAAAAAAGAGUACAUGUAAUUUUACCUUACGUGUAUAUAAUCAAUAUAUCACGAAUAGAACUGACUUGGCACAUGGAGUAGUUGCAUGCAAAAUAGUAAACGCGUUCAUAGAGGUUUGAAGUUUAUAUAGAAAAAGGCGUGCACGUUAUCUGUUGCGUUAGAGUAAUUAAUGACCCAAUUCAAGAUUACUUGUAAGCAAAUCUAGAAACUACAUAUCCAUAUUUAUUCAGAUCGUCUUAUGCUCACCGGCUUCUCCUCGCAUUUCAAAACUAUGACAAAUUGUCAUAUCUGAUUUGAUACCGACAGACUUUGAUUGCUUGUUUAGUUAUUUCGGUAAUAAGGCAUCAGGAAAUCAUCAACAACCUUUGAAUUUUCAAGUUUCUCCGCCAAACAAAGACGAUGAGUUGUUCUUGGCACAUGAAUUGAGAAAAGUCAAAGACCGAGCUAGUAACAAGCUUGUAAGUGAGUUGUGAUACUAACUUGAUAUGCGGUAGCAGACUAGCAGUAAAGGUUUGCACAAAUUGAGUGGUAUGUCUUAUCGCAGACGGCGUUGUCAGACGCAAACGAUGAUGAAUAGCAUCCGAAUGUACCUUUAACCGUCGACUUAUAAUAUAUACUUUUGACUUAAUUAUUUCGGAAAAAUGGGUUCACAUUUACAUUACUUUUGAUUAAUAUAUUGAACUUCUUAUCAAGCUCCGGUUUUAGCAUGAGAUAAAUAUUUCGUUCAUCAGGUUGAUAAUCAAAUAUUAACACACGCUUAGAGAUGCACUGACUAAUAUUUUAUUUCUCUGUAAACUGUUUUUUUUUAUUGUCGGCCCUCUUUGAACUUAAAAUAUUAAAAAGAAAAAGGCGCAGUAGCAACAAACACUAAAAUAUAAGAGAAAGGUGUCUCUUCCUCAGUGAUGAUCAUAAUGUGACAACAAAAAAGAUAGUGACCGACUCGUAUCUUCAAAAAUCUUAAUGUUGGGAUUCUAUUGUGUUUGGCUUGGCUUCCUUUUACUGACUCAUUUAAGAUCUACAAUGUCCAUUUUACAUGUGACGAAGAAAGUGGGUACUCCAAUAACAACAAAUCAUGACCUAAAAGAAUUCAUUAAUAAUACCAAGGUGGUUUCAUAAGAACUUUUUUUGAUAGGGCCGGUGGAUCGAGAAGAAUAUUUAUUUACUAGAGACAAAAUUUAAAUUAUUGUUAGUAAUUAAAUUACAACGUUAUGAAAGCUUUUAUC
Brassica napus (rape) is the source of this 1771-nucleotide long non-coding RNA. RefSeq lists it as uncharacterized. NCBI's taxonomy places the organism in Eukaryota, Viridiplantae, Streptophyta, Magnoliopsida, Brassicales, Brassicaceae. The record is from RefSeq and is a predicted model, not a curated record. The transcript has 2 exons.